RNAcentral lists this ribosomal RNA (371 nucleotides) under uncultured bacterium. Its description in RNAcentral is "bacterial SSU rRNA". It matches the Rfam family "Bacterial small subunit ribosomal RNA", at positions 524 to 898 of the family's 1533-position model. The record is from RNAcentral.
UACGUAGGGGGCGAGCGUUGCCCGGAAUUACUGGGCGUAAAGGGAACGUAGGUGGCUCUUAAAGUCAGGUGUGAAAAUAACGAAGCUUAACAGGUUAAUGCGCUUGAAACUAAAGGGCUUGAGGGCAAUAGAGGGAGAUGGAAUUACCUGUGUAGGGGUGAAAUCCGCAGAUAUAGGUAAGAAGGCCGGUGGGGAAGCCGAUCUCCUGGGUUGACUCUGACACUGAGGUUCGAAAGCUAGGGGAGCAAACCGGAUUAGAUACCCGGGUAGUCCUAGCCGUAAACGAUGCUCACUGGGUGUGGGUCGAAAAGAUCUGUGCUGAAGCUAACGCGAUAAGUGAGCCGCCUGGGGAGUACGUCCGCAAGGAUGAA